GCGGCGGGGAGAGAAGUUUGUUCCUUGGGGAUUUCUAUCAAGGUUGAUCAUACACUAAAAGAUGAGAAAACAGAAGAGAUUAGGUAACUGCCCAAGGCUUCCCAGCUGGUAUGUGGUAGAGCUGAGAUUCAUUUACUUGGCCUUGAAGAGCUCCUGUAUCCAAAAGGAAGGUGCUUCCGCCCAUGUGGCCUCGGAGUGGGACCCUG
RNAcentral lists this long non-coding RNA (206 nucleotides) under Homo sapiens (human). RNAcentral's name for it is "non-protein coding lnc-FNBP1L-1:6". The record is from RNAcentral. Lineage: Eukaryota; Metazoa; Chordata; Mammalia; Primates; Hominidae.